GAUGAACGCUGGCGGCGUGCCUAAUACAUGCAAGUCGAGCGAACAGACGAGGAGCUUGCUCCUCUGACGUUAGCGGCGGACGGGUGAGUAACACGUGGAUAACCUACCUAUAAGACUGGGAUAACUUCGGGAAACCGGAGCUAAUACCGGAUAACAUGUUGAACCGCAUGGUUCAACAGUGAAAGACGGUUUUGCUGUCACUUAUAGAUGGAUCCGCGCCGCAUUAGCUAGUUGGUAAGGUAACGGCUUACCAAGGCAACGAUGCGUAGCCGACCUGAGAGGGUGAUCGGCCACACUGGAACUGAGACACGGUCCAGACUCCUACGGGAGGCAGCAGUAGGGAAUCUUCCGCAAUGGGCGAAAGCCUGUCGGAGCAACGCCGCGUGAGUGAAGAAGGUCUUCGGAUCGUAAAACUCUGUUAUUAGGGAAGAACAAAUGUGUAAGUAACUAUGCACGUCUUGACGGUACCUAAUCAGAAAGCCACGGCUAACUACGUG
Molecule: ribosomal RNA, 497 nt
Filed under: uncultured bacterium
Lineage: Bacteria
Description: partial 16S ribosomal RNA
Rfam family: Bacterial small subunit ribosomal RNA
Source: RNAcentral